RNAcentral lists this ribosomal RNA (382 nucleotides) under uncultured Desulfobulbus sp. RNAcentral's name for it is "bacterial SSU rRNA". It matches the Rfam family "Bacterial small subunit ribosomal RNA", at positions 1002 to 1382 of the family's 1533-position model. The record is from RNAcentral. Lineage: Bacteria; Pseudomonadati; Thermodesulfobacteriota; Desulfobulbia; Desulfobulbales; Desulfobulbaceae.
AGAGAUGGAUUGGUGCCUUCGGGAACGUACUGACACAGGUGCUGCAUGGCUGUCGUCAGCUCGUGUCGUGAGAUGUUGGGUUAAGUCCCGCAACGAGCGCAACCCUUGCCUUUAGUUGCCAGCAGUUCGGCUGGGCACUCUAAAGGGACUGCCGGUGUUAAACCGGAGGAAGGUGGGGAUGACGUCAAGUCCUCAUGGCCUUUAUGACCAGGGCUACACACGUACUACAAUGGCCGAUACAAAGGGCAGCGACACUGCGAGGUGAAGCCAAUCCCGUAAAAUCGGUCUCAGUCCGGAUUGGAGUCUGCAACUCGACUCCAUGAAGUUGGAAUCGCUAGUAAUCGUGGAUCAGCAUGCCACGGUGAAUACGUUCCCGGGCCUU